GCCUACGGGUGGCAGCAGUGGGGCAUAUUUGGCAAUGGGCGCAAGCCUGACCCAGCAACGCCGCGUGACGGAAGAAGGCUUUCGGGUUGUAAACUUCUUUUCUCAGGGACGAAGAAAGUGACGGUACCUGAGGAAUAAGCCACGGCUAACUACGUGCCAGCAGCCGCGGUAAUACGUAGGUGGCAAGCGUUAUCCGGAUUUACUGGGUGUAAAGGGCGUGUAGGCGGGGAAGCAAGUCAGAUGUGAAAACCACGGGCUCAACCUGUGUCCUGCAUUUGUAACUGUUUUUCUUGAGUACUGGAGAGGCAGACGGAAUGCCUAGUGUAGCGGUGAAAUGCGUAGAUAUUAGGAGGAACACCAGUGGCGAAGGCGGUCUGCUGGACAGCAACUGACGCUGAGGCGCGAAAGCGUGGGGAGCAAACAGGAUUAGAUACCCGGGUAGUC
RNAcentral lists this ribosomal RNA (444 nucleotides) under uncultured bacterium. Its description in RNAcentral is "partial 16S ribosomal RNA". It matches the Rfam family "Bacterial small subunit ribosomal RNA", at positions 337 to 795 of the family's 1533-position model. The record is from RNAcentral.